UACGUAGGGGGCAAGCGUUGUCCGGAUUUAUUGGGCGUAAAGAGCGUGUAGGCGGCCAGGUAGGUCUGCUGUGAAAACUCGAGGCUUAACCUCGAGCUGUCGGCGGAAACCAUCUGGCUAGAGUCCGGAAGAGGAGAAUGGAAUUCCCGGUGUAGAGGUGAAAUGCGCAGAUAUCGGGAAGAACACCCGUGGCGAAGGCGGUUCUCUGGGACGGUACUGACGCUGAGACGCGAACGCGUGGGGAGCGAACAGG
Molecule: ribosomal RNA, 253 nt
Filed under: uncultured bacterium
Lineage: Bacteria
Description: partial 16S ribosomal RNA
Rfam family: Bacterial small subunit ribosomal RNA
Source: RNAcentral